CCUUGAGAGACCCCCUCCCUAACGUCUUCUUCUCCUUCACAAGAAGAGGGGAUCGAUACACAAAACAAAAACCUAAAGCCAUAAGCAGAGAACAAGAACCAGGGGACCUUCAGCCGUUUCCCUCAUCUGAUUUUGCUUCUUCUUCACUCUGAAUACACACACACACAAAAACCAACGAAGACCUAGAUCCCUUAGAGCUAGGCUUUUCAACGACAAAACACCAAAAGGACCCCCAGCCAGAUCUCGAUCUUCUUCAACCAAACCAACGACCCCUGCUCUCUUCAAAUGCACAAACAACCACUCACUUUACUUCACCAACCCUUUCCAUCGUUGCUCCUUCGGCUUCAAAGUUUCAGAAAAUUGGAGAGGAAAAUUAGGCAAGUGAAGAGUCGAAUUUCAGUGUCAUUUUUUUAUUUUGUUUCGUAAAUGAGGUCGAGAUGAGGUUUGAAGUCGUUGAUGCCCGAGGUUUGCCGAUCGAGCUCCAGGUCCCUCUCUUUCUCUUGAUGUUAAUUGAAGUAUGAUGGUGGACUGAAUUUGGUGUGGGUUUACUUACCGGAGUUUGAGCAUGACAGACGCCCCAGGACCAUCCAGUCAGGAUCACUUAUUUAGGAGUUUGCUUGAGGAGAUUUUCUUUAUGUUUUUAGUCUGUUGUUCAUUUUUAUAUCAUCUUUUACCUUCUAGUUUUGUAUAGUAAUGUCGAGUCUUUUAGGUGAUAUUAGAGUUUGUCAUAGUCUAGUUAAGUUUACCGAGUCUUUUGUUAUUGUAUUUCUUAUUUUGUAUUUGGAAAUGUGUUA
Molecule: non-coding RNA, 794 nt
Organism: Nicotiana tabacum (common tobacco)
Lineage: Eukaryota; Viridiplantae; Streptophyta; Magnoliopsida; Solanales; Solanaceae
Source: RefSeq, a predicted model, not a curated record